Molecule: ribosomal RNA, 490 nt
Filed under: uncultured bacterium
Lineage: Bacteria
Description: partial 16S ribosomal RNA
Rfam family: Bacterial small subunit ribosomal RNA
Source: RNAcentral
AUUGAACGCUGGCGGCAGGCCUAACACAUGCAAGUCGAACGGUAACAGGAAACAGCUUGCUGUUUCGCUGACGAGUGGCGGGCGGGUGUGUAAUGUCUGGGAAACUGCCUGAUGGAGGGGGAUAACAACUGGAAACGGUAGCUAAUACCGCAUAACGUCGCAAGACCAAAGAGGGGGACCUUCGGGCCUCUUGCCAUCGGGUGUGCCCAGAUGGGAUUAGCUAGUAGGUGGGGUAACGGCUCACCUAGGCGACGAUCCCUAGCUGGUCUGAGAGGAUGACCAGCCACACUGGAACUGAGACACGGUCCAGACUCCUACGGGAGGCAGCAGUGGGGAAUAUUGCACAAUGGGCGCAAGCCUGAUGCAGCCAUGCCGCGUGUAUGAAGAAGGCCUUCGGGUUGUAAAGUACUUUCGGCGGGAAUGAAGGGAGUCAAGUUAAUACCUUGGCUCAUUGACGUUACCCGCAGAAGAAGCACCGGCUAACUCCGUG